AUACGUAGGGUGCAAGCGUUGUCCGGAAUUAUUGGGCGUAAAGAGCUCGUAGGCGGUCUGUUGCGUCGGCUGUGAAAACCCGGGGCUCAACCCCGGGCCUGCAGCCGAUACGGGCAGACUAGAGUGAUGUAGGGGAGACUGGAAUUCCUGGUGUAGCGGUGAAAUGCGCAGAUAUCAGGAGGAACACCGGUGGCGAAGGCGGGUCUCUGGGCCGUAACUGACGCUGAGGAGCGAAAGCGUGGGGAGCGAACAG
Molecule: ribosomal RNA, 253 nt
Filed under: uncultured prokaryote
Description: partial 16S ribosomal RNA
Rfam family: Bacterial small subunit ribosomal RNA
Source: RNAcentral